UCGAUCAGUUGCUUUUGUCAUCUGCAUUUACAGAUGAAGAAACUGAAUCAAGAGCUUUGUUAUCUUCACCAAUGUCCUUAACCAAGAUAUCCCAACUCACAAGAUCUUUCCCUUGAAUAAGGGUUGCAGAAAGGUAGCCUGUGCAAGUUAGGGGAGCAUGUAAGCAAACCAGCUUCCCUAUUGGAUAUGUGAAGGGAAUUAUCUGAUGACAUUGCAGAUCACUGUAGUGUAGAAGGAGAAAAAUGACCUUAAGAUUUUCACCAUGGAAAACAAGGAGGACCAAGAAUAAAAUCGAAAUGAUAGACAGGUGAUAUAGUCCCAAGAAAAGAAGAGGAAUAUCAUCUCAUAGUGAAAUGUUUCAGAGCUUGUUGAAAAGCAUUUGAGAAAACUAAAGGAAGUUUAAAAACAUGAAACAUCGAUGAGGCAGAAUAAUGCUUCCUGGAUGGAUAGACUAAAAAAACUUUUUAAUGGCAAAUGGAAAAGCAUGUUUAAAACUCCUCAGCACUUGGUUUUGUUCUUUUUAGAUCUCUUGUAGUGAAUAAGUACCAUACAAAUAAAUGAGACAAGGUGAUGUUUGUCCUUCACAAGGAAAGUGUGAAGAGAAAUCCUGAUCAACUCUUGAAAUAUAACCCAUAGCCAUCUAGGGCACUGAUUUGAAGGCCAUUCUUGCUGCCUUAAAUAAUUUGCUCAAUUCACUGUCAGAACGUCAAUGCUUGCUUGAGUAGAAGGGGACUUUCAUUUAUUUUCAUUCUAUUCUUCCUUAAAAAACAAAUCAUAUACUUUCCCAUGAUUAGGAAAAAUAAUCUUCAUGUUAAAAAAGAAGCAAAAUCUGGGUUUUAAUAUAUGGAA
Diceros bicornis minor is the source of this 849-nucleotide long non-coding RNA. RefSeq lists it as uncharacterized. The record is from RefSeq and is a predicted model, not a curated record. The transcript is spliced from 3 exons. NCBI's taxonomy places the organism in Eukaryota, Metazoa, Chordata, Mammalia, Perissodactyla, Rhinocerotidae.